This 1512-nucleotide unclassified non-coding RNA is filed under the name Hevea brasiliensis (rubber tree). The record is from RNAcentral. Lineage: Eukaryota; Viridiplantae; Streptophyta; Magnoliopsida; Malpighiales; Euphorbiaceae.
GAGGCACCCUUAUUGAGUGUCAGGUAUUCAUUAUCUGUUAAAACCCAUCAUAUCCCAAAGUAUUUAUUUUUCUAAGACUUGUUAACAUAUUAAUUAUUUUGUAACUCGUGUUCUGUCAAAAUUAUUCAAUGUCUUGCCCUUACUGUGUUAGUUGUUUUAUGUAACCAUUGUAACUUGUAGAAGAUAGCAUUUGCUUCUUAUAUCAUAUUUCUUUUCUCUUCAAAUAAUGUUUUUACAUUAAUUCCUUUCUUUCUUCCCUAACUUUCAUGUCAAAAGCUGUUUCCUUGAUCGAAUUCUACUGAUAGAUUCUUGUAGUUUUGAAUUACCUUUAACAAUUUGUGGUGUCAAAUCUGCCACUUAUCUCAUAAUGCAAGUUUAAAUUCUGAAACAAACAUCAGACACACAUUCAAGGAAAUGCUGAAUGGGGUAAAACCCAUUCUGAUGAAUAUUCCAGAAGUUUAUUGUUGGGUUCCUUUCAUUAUUUCUAGCUGGCUGCCUGAAAGUUUCAACAGAGCAUUGGCAGUCACUUUGUUGAAAAACUAAUAAUAAUAUAAGUUUAUAAUGAUAUUAAUAGCAAUACAAACUGUCUAGGAAAUACACAGGAGCUAGUCUUGUGUUUUCUAAUUUCUAGAAUUGGAAAAUGUUUUGGGGCAGGUCCUCAAGGUAGCUUAGAUUAUUAAAAUGUACAGCCUAUUGUACAAAUAGCAUGUAUGAAAUGAAGGCAGUUUUCUAAGGGGUGAGAAGGAAAAGUUGGUGAAUUUCUAAUUAUGCAAUACAUAAUUCAAUCUCAAUUGGUUGUUAUUGACUCCUGCUUUUUUUGUAUAAACUACCUAUUCCAACAAAAAUGUAUUCCUUCUCUCUCAUAUUAUUUGUAUAUGCAUUCUAUAUACGUUUGUGUGUAUUUGAAUGGUCAUGUUGCAUGAUGGAAAUUGUCCUCCUGAGUGACUUAAACCAAGUUGCUUGUCUAGUAGGAUAGCACCAAGUGGCUUAACCAAGUUGCUUGUCCAGUGGGAUAGCACAAAGUGGCUUAACAAAAUUAGCUAGCACCCACAUGUUCAUGCAGUUUGUGCUACCUGACAUAUGAAGGAACCUGUUUUUUCUUCUAUGACAGCCUUUUAUGGGUCUUAAUUGCCAUUAGGAUAGAGGAUAUUAGCCAGGGUUAUAAGAAUUGGCAUUAGUUUAAGAUUUGUCUAUGUUGCGAUUUGUUUGGGAAUCAUCCUAUCCUUUCAUUUCAAUUUGUGUUCAGAUGAAUAUCAUGGCCAUGGAUAUCGUGUACUCCUACAAAUCAGGCCUAACUCAAAUUUGCACUUAAACGUAUUGGGAAAAGUCUUUUGCACCCUAACAUUAUAUUUUGACCUAUUACACCCUUGUAUUUUUAUUUUGGUUUUUGGCCUAUUACACCCUUGUAUUUUUAUUUUGGUUUUUGGCCUAUUACAUAUUUCAAAUUUUAUUUUAUUUUUUUAACUAAUAGGUACGAUUUUUCAGAUCAAAUAUAUUAGUGUGUGUCUGUAU